UACGAAGGGGGCUAGCGUUGUUCGGAAUCACUGGGCGUAAAGCGCACGUAGGCGGACUUUUAAGUCAGGGGUGAAAUCCCGAGGCUCAACCUCGGAACUGCCUUUGAUACUGGGAGUCUUGAGUGUGGUAGAGGUUGGUGGAACAGCAAGUGUAGAGGUGAAAUGCGUAGAUAUGUGGAGGAAUACCGAUGGCGAAGGCAGCCCCCUGGGUCAAGACUGACGCUCAUGCACGAAAGCGUGGGGAGCAAACAGG
RNAcentral lists this ribosomal RNA (253 nucleotides) under uncultured bacterium. Its description in RNAcentral is "partial 16S ribosomal RNA". It matches the Rfam family "Bacterial small subunit ribosomal RNA", at positions 524 to 776 of the family's 1533-position model. The record is from RNAcentral.